AUACGUAGGGGGCAAGCGUUAUCCGGAUUUACUGGGUGUAAAGGGAGCGUAGACGGCAAAGCAAGUCCGAUGUGAAAUUCCGGGGCUCAACUCCGGACCUGCAUUGGAAACUGUUUAGCUAGAGUAUCGGAGAGGUAAGUGGAAUUCCUAGUGUAGCGGUGAAAUGCGUAGAUAUUAGGAGGAACACCAGUGGCGAAGGCGGCUUACUGGACGAUAACUGACGUUGAGGCUCGAAAGCGUGGGGAGC
Molecule: ribosomal RNA, 247 nt
Filed under: uncultured bacterium
Lineage: Bacteria
Description: partial 16S ribosomal RNA
Rfam family: Bacterial small subunit ribosomal RNA
Source: RNAcentral